UUUUACACAUCCAUCAAAAUCCAAACUCUGGUUAGUAAAGAAUUUACGAAUGUUGUGAAAAUAAAGCUAUGCUGUCAUUAUGUAUGUGUGAAUAAUAUCUAGGAUAUGGGAUGUUUGAAACAUACAUCCUUAUUAAAUUAAAACUACAAAAGUUAUAAGUAACAAAAAAAAAAAAAGAUUUGUAAACAAACCAUUCAGGCAGUAUUUACCAGGUCAUUUCUCAGUUUGGCUCAGAUAAAUAUUUAUCUUAGUUAGCUGAGAAUCAGAUAUGAGGAAAUGACUUAUUGUAAGGUAUUUGUUGCUGCAAAAAGUCAUUUGCAAUUGACUUCUUGUUUGUGGGUUUAACCUCUAGUUCAUGCAGUUAAAUAACUUUGCUGAACACUCAUCAGGAGAUGUUGCUUUUCACUAAAAUGUUUCCUCCCAUUAAACAGUUAACAACCAGAAUCACCCUUUUGGGCUCAGUCCUUUUAUUGUAUGAUCGGUUCUGUGCAGUGCAUGAUCGAGUGAUCCAUGAAGUAAGUACAAUGGACAAGUUAACUGAGAAGGUGGAAGAGAAAAUCUUCAGACCACUGUAACUCAAGUUGUCCUGUGUUUCUUUCACAUUUAUGCUUGAUGAUGGUGUUCUUCCUUAGUAAUAUGCUUGAAAACCAGUUAAUGUCUACAGGAGCGUUUGAGAUCACGUUAAAUGGUGAGUCGGUGACUGACAGCAUGGUUUUUACUAACUAAACCCAAUUGUUUCAAAUUAUUUGGGCCAUUUUGCAUUGAUCAUUGAUUAGUACCUUGACUGCAGUUUUAACAGUUAAAUGUACUUGCAGUGCCAUUUCAUAUUAGAACUUUUAUGACUUAGAUGGCUUCAAACAUUGUUAGUCUUUUGUUAUAUUAUUUUGAACUAAUGCUAUGUUGAUGGAACAAAAUUCAGUGCAUUACAGUGAUGUGGUGUUUUUCCAUCGAUGUACCAGUGUGGUCAAAAAACUAGAAUCGGGUCACCUGCCCUCCAUGCAGCAGCUUGUGCAAAUCCUGGACGAGAUGAAGAUGAACAUUCACAUGAACACAAAACCCCUCCACUCCUAACCCUACUCUUCACAUCCUGGCUGGAGCUACAAGCCCCUCCAUGUUUGAGGUGGGUUUCUCUCUGGGCUGUGAUUUUAUGUUUAUGAAGGUCUGCGCUGAAGGCAGGAUAACUGCUAGCACAGACUGGAUGUCCCCAUCACUCUUCACCGUGCCCCUCAGAGACAACCUGCCCCUGACGCCAGAGAAGGAUCCAGAGAGUGCAGGCCAUUGUGUCAUUUUCUUGUAAUAUUCAUACUACUGCAGAAAUCAUCCAGGUGACAUCAGUGGUCCCAUAAUGAGAGAUUAGCCUUGAUUUGUAUAGUCUUUAACUUGUUGCAUAUAAUUAAAUGAUGUGGUUUAAAAAAAGCGAUGUCCCUUGUACCACUGAGCCAUAAGUAGGAUUUAAGUGUAUUGUUCUAAUAGUAACUUAGCUGUGUAGAAAAUGCAACACUUAAAUAUGCCGUCACUGUUAAAUUAACAACACAAUUGUGUCUUGGUAUGAUUUCCAAAUAAUUUUUAUAUUGACAUAAUUUGGAGGAAGCUAAGAAGAUGAAUAAAACAUGGAACUAUUUAACUGUG
Molecule: long non-coding RNA, 1629 nt
Organism: Labrus mixtus (cuckoo wrasse)
Lineage: Eukaryota; Metazoa; Chordata; Actinopteri; Labriformes; Labridae
Exons: 2
Source: RefSeq, a predicted model, not a curated record